AGGUGAGAUUUAAACCAGAACGCUAAACAUGUAGAUCUGCUCGACGAAGGCUUACGGACGCGGGUUCAAUUCCCGCCAGCUCCACCA
Molecule: transfer RNA, 87 nt
Filed under: Comamonas odontotermitis
Lineage: Bacteria; Pseudomonadati; Pseudomonadota; Betaproteobacteria; Burkholderiales; Comamonadaceae
Description: tRNA-Leu
Rfam family: transfer-messenger RNA
About the family: Bacterial tmRNA, also known as 10Sa RNA or SsrA, is named for its dual tRNA and mRNA-like properties.
Source: RNAcentral